RNAcentral lists this long non-coding RNA (1173 nucleotides) under Sorghum bicolor (sorghum). RNAcentral's name for it is "long non-coding RNA (SBIC_LNC018745)". Lineage: Eukaryota; Viridiplantae; Streptophyta; Magnoliopsida; Poales; Poaceae. The record is from RNAcentral.
CCCACAAGAGUAUAUGUGCAGAAAUGAAAAUCCAAUCAUCUACAUUCAAGCUAGGUACUUCGAUAUAUAUUCCCGAACAUAUAUCGCAGCACACUACCCAUUUGGGAUACACCCACAUAUACAUCAAAUAUGUAUACAUGGCUGCACCUACUACCCACAAUUAAGUACCUUCAUAUAUAUACAUGUGUAAAACAUGUAUUAGUAACCACAGCUAACACUCCCCUAGACCGACGGUUGGACGGUCAUGCUCUCACAGCUCACACUUACCGUAGCGUAGAGGCAUAUAGAUCCAUACAUUACCACUCAAGCAAGUGGCAUCCAUACAAUUUCACGCCGUAUGGACGACGAAAGAAAACAAUCAUUGCUUACCAUGGCGUAGAGGUAUAUGAUCCAUUCAUUACCACUUAAGUAAGUGGUAUCCAUAUAAUUGCACGCCAUAUGGACGACGAAAGGAAAAACCCCCAUGAAAGUAAUAUUAAGCCACCUAGAAGUCCUUAUAUGGGCAUAAAGGGUAGGACCACUGGCAUGGUAUAAGUUAUUGAAACAUUUUUAAAACAGCCCUAUGUAUAGUCUAAUUUGCCAAUUAGUUUGGCGAAAACAAAUUCAUUUGUUUUUAAAUACAUCUAUGAUGGUUAAAUGCUUAAUCUUGCUCUGAUGCCAGCUGUAACAAAACCGUCCAAAUUAUAAGAAUUCAAGUGAAUUAGCGACCACGGAGGCAGUCAAGCCAAUGGACUUGAACCCAUAUAAACCCGGUAGUCUGUAACACCCUAAAUUUUGUUCUUUUAGAAAUAGAUGAAAAAUAAUUUAAUUUUGAAUUUUUGUGCUCAUAAAACAUAGGGGAAUAAUAUUUUUCAGUAAAUUAAAACUUAUCAUAGGGUUUAGUAACAUGUAUGUGCACUCAUGCUGGAGCAUUUAUAUUUUUGUACUGUGUAACUUUGAGUAAAGUUCAAAAGUAUUUCAAAACUGAUUUUUAAAAGGGACUUGAAAUGGCUUUGGAAUAAAAGAAAGGAAAAUAGAAAAAAAAAACAACAAAACCUUUCUCCUCUUCCCCCACUCAUUCUGGCCCGAAGAGCCCAAACCCUCCUCUCCCCCUUCCUUCCUUCCCCCCCCCCCCCGCGGCCCACUCUCUUCCUUCCCCCUUUCUUCCCUUGGCUCGGCCCAGUGACGCGGCCC